ACCUGCUUGGAUCCUUUUCCACGCUGUGGAAGCUUUGUUGUUUUGCACUUUGCAAUAACUCUUGCUGCUGCUCAUUCUUUGGGUCCACACUGCCUUUAUGAGCUGUAACGCUCACCGCAGAGGUCUACAGCAUCACUCUUGAAGCCAGUGAAACAACGAACCCACCGGGAGAAACGAACAACUCUAGACUCACCGCCUCCAGAGCUGUAACACUCACCUCGAAGGUCUGCAGCUUCGCUCCCGAGCCAGUGAAACCAGGAACCCACCAGAAGGAAGAAGCUCUGAACACAUCCAAACGUCAGAAGGAACAAACUCCGGACACGCAGCCUUUAAGAACUGUAACACUCACCGCGAGGGUCCGUGGCUUCAUUCUUGAAGUCAGUGAGACGAAAAACCCACCAAUUCCGGUAGGAGUAGGGAAUCACAUCACCUUCUUUUAAUCAGUCUCAAAUACCUGGCCCGUUGUGGAACCUGCAAGAGCCAGGUUUGGCGAAUGAAAUGAUAAGCAGUUGUAAUCACUGCCUUGAAAAAGAGCAGAGCAUUUGAGUAUGCUGUCUCCUCCUCUCCCUCACUUCAGUUGGGCCCAACAUGACAGUCUUAAUGGAAGCUCGGGGGUCAAAGGCUGGUGGCUUACUUCAUGUAUAUUGCAGCAUUUCAGUACUGCUCUGCACGUGUGCUCCCCCGCCUGAUGAGAUAAGUGUUAAACAGGGAUGAUCACAGCUUCAAGUAAGCAAUGGGAAUUGGAUGUUUUAUGUCCUCUGGCGCCAUCUUCAGCAGAGAAAUAUAUAGGUCACUUUUACUUGUCUGGUCUUGGUCGUGAAAUCUGUACUGAAACUUGUGAAGGAGCAGACCUAUAUUAGGAUAGAGUAAAAGAUGGAAAGACAAAAACCUUUUGGGCUUUUCAGGAGACUUGGUUCAUUCUCUGCUUUUGAAGCCGUCUCAUGGCCACAUUCCUGCUUUGGAGGCUGACUCGGAGGCACAACCAGCCUCAGGGCGUUCCUCAGGGACCCUACCUUUCUUGCUCCCUGAAGAAAUGUGCACAUUGCUUGAAUAAAAACAAUCAAAGAACACUCAGUCAAGAUCGUCUGCUGCAGUCUUCGUUGAGGGCUGGGGAUGCUAAAAGUCAGAUGAUUCAUGUGUACCCUGUCCAUCCUAACUCACCUGCUUUUCUACUUCCGCAGCUUACUCCAGUGCCCACAGAUACGACAGAGUACCCAAGUGCCCCUCACACUCUAUUAGCUGCAUCCUUAACCUCUUUUUGCCACACCAUAAGCAUUGGGGUUUUUUUGUUUGUUUGUUUGUUUUGAGAUGGAGUCUUGCUCUGUUGCCAGGCUGGAGUGCAAUGGCGUGAUCUCAGCUCACUGCAAUAUCUGCCUCCAGGGUUCAAGCGAUUCCCCUGCCUCAGCCUCCUGUAUUAGCUGGGACUACAGGCACACACCACCACGCCCAGCUAAUUUUUUUGUAUUUUAGUAGAGACGGUUUCACGAUGUUGGCCAGGAUGAUCUCGAUCUCCUGACCUCGUGAUCUGCUCGCCUCGGCCUUCCAAAGUGCUGGGAUUACAGGCAUGAGCCACGGCGCCUGGCCAGCAUUGGGGUAUUUUAUUGAAGAUGGAAGCCAUGAAUGUUGAGAAAGCCUCAGCAGAUGAGAACUUGCCAGAGGUGAUCUCUAACAUCAAGGAGACUCUGAAGAUAGUGUCCAGGACACCAGUUAACAUCACUAUGGCGGGGGACUCUGGCAAUGGGAUGUCCACCUUCAUCAGUGCCCUUCGAAACACAGGACAUGAGGGUAAGGCCUCACCUCCUACUGGGCUAGUAAAAGCUACCCAAAAAUGUGCCUCCUAUUUCUCUUCCCACUUUGCAAAUGUGGUGUUGUGGGACCUGCCUGGCACUGGGUUUGCCACCAAAACCCUGGAGAACUACCUGAUGGAAAUGCAGUUCAACCGGUAUGACUUCAUCAUGGUUGCAUCUGCACAAUUCGGCAUGAAUCAUGUGAUGCUUGCCAAAACCGCUGAGGACAUGGGAAAGAAGUUCUACAUUGUCUGGACCAAGCUGGACAUGGACCUCAGCACAGGUGCCCUCCCAGAAGUGCAGCUACUGCAGAUCAGAGAAAAUGUCCUGGAAAAUCUCCAGAAGGAGCGGAGCUCUAGAAACCAACAAGUGUACCCAAACCACAGCCACGUACCUCUUGCUUGCUGAAAGGAUCCUGAGAGAAAAGCAAGACAAAGAAAUACAGAUCAGCUCUGCAAGCCCUAGAAAUAGCAAGGCCCAGCUCAGCUGGCCUGCCGUGAGAAAUACCUCAAGAGUACUCCAGAGAAUUCCACAAGGCCCAGAAAUAUUCCUUCCAGAAGAAAACUAUACGUAAAUCUGCUCAGGAUAUUCAACAGCUAGCCAGUGCAUGAGACAUAUACUGGGUACUUAAGAAAUGUUUGUUAAAAAGAAAUGAAUAAUGAUUAUAAAGAAAAAAUAAAUUAAAACUCAUGUUUAGUU
Gorilla gorilla gorilla (western lowland gorilla) is the source of this 2486-nucleotide RNA transcript. It is a transcript of the gene named immunity related GTPase M, with no coding region annotated. The transcript has 4 exons. NCBI's taxonomy places the organism in Eukaryota, Metazoa, Chordata, Mammalia, Primates, Hominidae. The record is from RefSeq and is marked validated.